RNAcentral lists this long non-coding RNA (2194 nucleotides) under Homo sapiens (human). RNAcentral describes it as "HSALNT0407445". Lineage: Eukaryota; Metazoa; Chordata; Mammalia; Primates; Hominidae. The record is from RNAcentral.
AGAACCUGCGGGCGAGGUGGGUGGCUCGCCAGCCGGGACGAAGGGAAAUGAGGACCACCGCUCCGGGGCGCGAGUAGGCGCGUGGAGUCCGGGGGCUCAGCCGCCGCGCCUCUUCCUCCUGCAGCUGGAGACUGCAACAGCGGCGGGUGCACCGGCAGCAGCGACGACCCUGCGCGCAGGUGGGCACCCCCGAGCGCGGCGCUCUGCCCGCUCCCCCGGCCACCGCGGGCCGGACGCCCGCUCUUCCAGGCCACUGCGCUUGGGGGCGAGGGCUGGGUAGGUCCAGGGGCAGAAGGAAGGUGCACGGCCCCGUGGUGGGCGCGCUUCUGCGCGCGCGCUGUGGUAGGUGGGAAAGAGGUGCAGAAAAGCUGCCUCCCUUAGGGUUCACUCCCUCGGUUCCACUGUCCCCACCCCACCCCUUCUGAGGAGCUGGGCACACCGGUGGGGCUUUGGAAAACUGCGAUCUCCUACCCGCCCCGCAGUAUCGGUGGCGUGUGCAGGUGGCAGUGUAGAAGCCAGACCGGGAGCUUCCAGAAGUGGUUUCUGAAAGAGUCAAAUGUACAUGAGUAAGCAAGCACAGGAAUCUGAAAAACCACAGGCCCACUAAUUUGCCUGCUUGACUAAAAUAAGGACGAGUUAUGUGCUGAUGAGAGACAUGUUUGUAAUGUUAUUCGUUGUGACACAGUUCAAAAGAAUUUGCCUUUGAUUCUCACUAAAAUGUAAAGUUUUGCAUAUUAAGAUCCUUUUUCAACAACUGAGCAACUCUUUAUAAUGAAGGGCAGAAGACGCCAAAGGGAAGAAAAUAUUUACCUUUGUGGGCUUUUACUUUCUUUCCUGGGAAUGGUAGGCCAUAGCUAUUGGUAUGUUUUUUUGUUGUUGUUGUUGUUGUUGUUGUUGUUUUUUGAGAAGGAGUCUCUGUCGCCCAGGCUGUAGUGUAGUGGCAUGAUCUCGACUCACUGCAACCUUCACCUCGGGUUCAAGCGAUUCCCCUGCCCCAGCCUCCUGAGUGGCUGAGAUUACAGGCACCCACCACCAGGCCCGGCUAAUUUUUGUAUUUUUAGUAGAGAUGGGGUUUCACCAUGUUGGUAAGGCUGGUCUCCAACUCCUGACCUCGGGUGAUCCUCCCGCCUCGGUCUCCCAAAGCGCUGGGAUUACAGGCAUGAGCCAGCGCCUACCACCGCUAUUGGUACUUUCACACGGAUGCUAAAGUUAUUGUGCUGGCCGUGUUAAGGGUCAGGCAUCAAAAUGGCCGCUCAAGAGAAUGAAGCUUUCUCUUUGUGCAGAUGCAACGGGUGGGAUGGGGUGCACAAUUAUCACAGUGCUGGUUGUGGUGUUACCUCGACAUUCUGCCUUACAGCUGAGGAGGGAUUUGUUUCGUCCCUGCUAAUGAAGGUGUUAAAUAAACUUGGAUGCUGUUAUUGAAGCUUAAAAAAUAAAUGGAAGCUGGGUGCGAUGGCUCAAGCCUGGAAUCCCAGCACUUUGAGAGACCGAGAUGGGAGGAUUGCUUGAGCUCAGGAGUUCAAGACCAGCCUAGACAACAUGGCAACACCCUGUCUCUACAAAAAAUUACAAAAAGUAGCCAGGCGUGGUGAUGUGCACCUGUAGCUAUGUGUACCUGUAGUCCCACACAGUCGGGAGGCUGAGGUGGGAGCCUCCCUUGAGCCUGGCAGGUCAAGGCUGUGAUGAGCCACGAUCAUGCCACUGCACUCCAGCCUGGGUGUGACAGUGAGAUCCCUUCUUAAGAAAAAAAAAAAAAAGAAAAAAAAGAAAUUGAACACUUACCAGUAGAAAGCAAACAGGGAGCUCAGACUCAGAAAGUGUAGAUUGCACUAAAUACUGAAGGGUUCUCACUUUAAAGACUCCAUGGAUAAGGAGUGGCUUCAGGAAAGCUCUUGAACAUUUAGGAACAUGUAAGUUUGCACUGCAUGAGACUUAGAUUCAUUAUCUGACUCAGGAAAUUGGGAUGUAACUAAUUAUCCCUCAAAAUAUCUAACAGGAAUGGAGUCUCCUCAGUCAAAAAGAAAAAGAACAAGGUUGAUAUUUUAUUCCUUUUUUGAAUUAUAGUAUAUUUGUUGUAGAGCCAUUAGGUGCUUUAGAGAUAUUUGACUUUUGACAUAUAACAUACAUAAUAAAGUGUGUAAAAGGUACUGGUCUAAAGUGUACUGCUCAAGGAGAAUCACUUGAACCCAGGAGG